This is a long non-coding RNA of Procambarus clarkii (red swamp crayfish), 1941 nucleotides long. RefSeq lists it as uncharacterized. The record is from RefSeq and is a predicted model, not a curated record. NCBI's taxonomy places the organism in Eukaryota, Metazoa, Arthropoda, Malacostraca, Decapoda, Cambaridae.
UAGGGUCUAUGGCCUGAAGAGACUAUAGGGACCCCAUCCCUCCGCUAUUUCCCGGUAUCGGGCAGCCGGGGCGCAUCCGAUCCCACGAUCGUCGUCGCCCCUAAAUCAACACAACAACAAAACAGUUCUUGUGUUUACUACACCGCCAGUGAUUUCUGUUUUCAGCAUGUUUCCUACAGCGUCAGUGGCCUCAGCUCCCCAUUAUGUUUGCUACAGGACCCCACUUCAUCUACAUGCAAGCUGAUAUUGAUCCUGAACUAAAUCUUCUAUCAACUUCAUCUACAUACAAGCUGAUAUUGAUCCUGUACUAACUCUUCUAUCUCAAAUCUUCAAUAACCAGCAUAUUGAUCAUCACUCCUUCAGAUUAACCACUGCACUGAGCAACGCAUCUGUAGGCGCUUGAUGGGUGGUGCGCAACGCGCUUUGGGGAUCUUAUAACUCACAUUUUUAUCAGAAGAAUUCCACUUGCAGUUUCAACACCCCAGGCCAUAAAGCUCAUUUAAGUGUUAGUAACACUGCGGGUAUAAUACACAUCAGCAAUGUGUCUCAUAAUGCACAUGACCGUGUUGAAAAUACUACAGUGCAGAACGUCAACAAUUAGCUCACUUAAAUUACCCAGCUGCUAUAUGCAUAACCUCAACAGCCUGUGAACAUAUGUUUACUCCACUCAUUCAGAUAUUGUAGUGCAGCAUUAUGACCAUCUUCAGUAAAGAUUUCUUAGAUCAACAGAAAUUUGUUGUUAUACAUUGAAAAUUUAAGAAUAGACUAAUAAUGUAAUAUUUUUAUUCAUUCUUUGCGAGUUCUAUUUGAAUGGUAAUUUUUGGAAAUUCAUUCAUAUUUAACCAUUAUGCAGAUAUAGUGUAUAAUAAGGACCGAAAUAGACUAUGUCCAGACCCAGUUUCCUUAUGUCUAAUAUACUUCACUAUAUAAAAUUUGUGUGAUGUCAGCAGUGAUACUUCCUACCUCAGGUAAUUGUUCAUUCACCCCUGUUCUUCCAUUUUCCUGCCAAGUCAGGUACUACAUUUGCUUAAUGUACUUGGUAAUAUUAUUAUUUCACUCAUAUUUUCUCUAAAUAUAUAUUUGUGCUUUUAUGAACAGUAUUUUAUACAUUUUAAAGCUCUAAUACUAUUCUUAAUAUUCACUGUUUGGUAUUACAUUAUAAAAAUAUAUCAUUAUAGGUAACUUGAUUAAUCAUACAUAUGUAUGAUUAAUCAAGUUAGAAGGAGGAACCCAUUUAUUUUUAAAAUAUAUUUAUUAUAAUAAUAAUAUAUUUCUGUAUAUACAUUUGUCUGUAUGUAUAAUAAGUGUUUAUAUGAAUGUAUGUGCAAUAUAUUUGUAUUUGAUUUAAUAUUUAUCAUAUAUUGACAGGGAAGCUAGACAUAUUGAAUAUUUAUCAUAUUAAGCCAUUUUCCUUCUUACCUUUAUAUAAACGUUUAUAUAUUGGUGUAUAGUAUUUAGGGAAUAAAAACAUGUUCUUCCCUCUUAAACACCAUAUAUACAGCAAUUUGACAUGAAAGUUAAUAUCAUUACAUGCAAUUAGUUAACAACACUUGCUAUUUCUCAGUAUAAAAUUCAUUCAGUACAAAAUGUACAUUCACAAAAGUCUGUAGAUAAAAGAUGGCUUCUUGUAAAACCAUAUUAGGUUUCAGUAAAAAGAAACUCGAUUUCUUUCUUGCAAGAUAUAAUUGGUCAUGCAAAUGUUUAGUACCUCUAAAAGAUAGAGAAACUUGUGUUACUGUUACAGUCAUGCUAGCAAGUGCAUGAACAAUUUAUAUAUCAGUGCUAAACAUUUGAGGGCUGCUUGCUUCAAUUGACAUAGAGUAUAAAAGUUCACCUGAAGUCAGUGUAGUUUAUAUUAGAUAAUAUUUCUCACAUAGAGACCUGUGAUAACUGUUAUGUUUAUAAAUCCAUAUCAUUACCAUAUAAAUAAAUAAAUAUAUA